Acanthosepion pharaonis is the source of this 98-nucleotide non-coding RNA. NCBI's taxonomy places the organism in Eukaryota, Metazoa, Mollusca, Cephalopoda, Sepiida, Sepiidae. The record is from the annotation of a GenBank genome assembly.
UCAAACACUAGUUCUGGUACGAUUACGGAAGUUAAGCAACGUCAAGCCUGGUUAGUACCUAAAUAUGUGACCGCUUGGGAAUACCAGGUGCUGCAAGC